CCCAAGAGAUCGGGAUAACACCUGGAAACAGAUGCUAAUACCGGAUAACAACAGAUGAUGCCUAUCAACUGUUUAAAAGAUGGUUCUGCUAUCACUCCUGGAUGGACCUGCGGUGCAUUAGCUAGUUGGUAGGGUAACGGCCUACCAAGGCGAUGAUGCAUAGCCGAGUUGAGAGACUGAUGGCCACAUUGGGACUGAGACACGGCCCAAACUCCUACGGGAGGCAGCAGUG
This 232-nucleotide ribosomal RNA is filed under the name uncultured Lactobacillus sp. RNAcentral's name for it is "partial 16S ribosomal RNA". It matches the Rfam family "Bacterial small subunit ribosomal RNA", at positions 129 to 356 of the family's 1533-position model. Lineage: Bacteria; Bacillati; Bacillota; Bacilli; Lactobacillales; Lactobacillaceae. The record is from RNAcentral.